UAGGAUAAUAGUUAAAAAUAACAUUUGAUUUGCAUUCAAAAAUUAUUAUUUAUAAUUUAAUUUAUCUUAU
Molecule: transfer RNA, 70 nt
Filed under: Colochela zhongi
Lineage: Eukaryota; Metazoa; Arthropoda; Insecta; Hymenoptera; Tenthredinidae
Description: tRNA-Ala
Rfam family: tRNA
About the family: Transfer RNA (tRNA) molecules are approximately 80 nucleotides in length. Their secondary structure includes four short double-helical elements and three loops (D, anti-codon, and T loops).
Source: RNAcentral